AUUUCCCCCUCCUAGUUUAGUUAGGCUACUUCAGCGGAGCCGUCUGAACAGGCCACUUAUCAGCGCACCCCAAACACAAAAUCACUCCUCGCUCGAAGAGCGGGUUAUCGCGCUCCACUACACUGACCAUAAGACGGCUCCGUUCAUCCGCACCGCACGCCGUGCAGCACAAGACAGGCCGGUACUCGACGCGCUGUUCGUAAUACCAAUUAGCGCUGUCUGACGACCACAUAAUCCCCCCCUCUAAGUUAGGUGUUACUCGUCAACGUAGUCUGUAGGCAGCAAAGAGACGCCCAGAGACUGCGCGAACACCACGGCGUCUUCACGGGAGAGGUAGGGCACGUCCAGAGCGUCGGCGAGCUUUGCUACUCUCUCCUCUACCC
RNAcentral lists this unclassified non-coding RNA (383 nucleotides) under uncultured fungus. Its description in RNAcentral is "sequence contains ITS1". The record is from RNAcentral. Lineage: Eukaryota; Fungi.